CAGAUCAUUCCCAUUUGUCUCCUUCCCUGCCUGCUCUGUAGUUGAAAUAAUUCUUUUCAAAAAUAAUUUAUAAAUUGUUUUGUAUGACACCAGUGACAUUUAUUACAGGCAUCAAGUUCAGCAAAAAAUAACAAAGUAUUUCUACUUAAUUCAUUUAUCAAAUGCUAAGGGCUAUGGUAAGAAUUUAGAGGUUAUGUCACUUAGCAUCUUACAGUGAGUAGAACAAUUUUGUUCCCAGUCAGAUGAGUUAACUUGGAAGGCACUGGUCAACAAGAAGUCUGCCAGAAAAGAAAGAAUGGUGGCAUUGAACAGAGAAGUUCCAGACAGAAGCCAAAGAGGAACCACAGUACAGACAGUAAACAUCUUUGGUUAUCGAUAUUCAAAAGCCAACUAAAACAGCGUGGCAAGCUGGAGUGGGAGAAGGUCCCCAAAGUAGAAGGCUAUUCAUGGAAAUGGAAACAAGCAGAAGAACAAACAGAAAAAUCUCCAUGUUUUCAUCCUACAUUUCAAAGCUGCAUUGAAACCGCAGUUCCUCUCGUCACAAGGCAUUUCCUAAAAAUUCAUGAAACUCUUUAAAACAGGAAGUUCACACUUUUACUUUUUCAAUAUGAUUCUUCCCCCUCAGUUCUACUUUAGCUCAUUUACUCACUUAACAGAAUACUUUUUAAACUAAGAACUGAUACUUCCCAUAAAUAUCUUUCCUGCAAAGCACCCCCAACCUCACCCCAGAGCAGCCCUCUCCCUUGCGCGGUUUUCCAAGCGGUGUCCUGCUGCUUUCCUGCGACUUAGGACUGGUUUUCCCUAGAAGGUAAUACCAGAUGAACAAGAUGUAGCAUUUCAAAAAUGCAACCAAGUGAGGGAAUACGUAAUGCUUAGCUAAUUAUGAAAUUUGAUGGCAUCUUAGGGGAAAAAUAUCAAAUCCUGCUAUUGAAUAGAAGCAAUCUCAAUAAACCUCCAACUUCUUAAUGUAUGAACAUGGAAACCCUUUGCUCAGGGCCCAGAUACGUGCCAGAGAUAAUACGCCAAGAGAAUAAUUAUUUCCCCGCGAUGGGCUACUCUGAUUAUCUAUCCCAUUAUGAAUCAAGCCCUUGAAAAUCCAAAGGUAAGCAGCAGUUAAACAGCUAUAAACAGUGGUUAAUGAGAAUUUUGAGGAAAUAUGAUGGGUGACAACACUGUGAAACCCACUGCAGAAAUGAGUUCCUAAGUGUGAAAAAUAUAUGGUUUCCUGAACUUCAGACCCUAUAUGCCCUCUCUCCUUUUCCUUCUCCCACCCUGCGUCCAUCCCUCCAGUUUAUUUUUCUUUCUCCUUGCUUCCCCUGUCUCUUUUCCUCUUCCCAUCUUUGUCUCCUCCACUUUCCUUUUAACUCCACACCUCACCACUUCACUCUCCCAAAGACUUGUCACAAUAUUCACAUGGACGUUUACCGUAAGCAUAUUUGAUUCCUUGUUGGUAUUUUUUAAAUCAAAUUUAACUCUUUCAUAUCACACUCUUUCUGUGUCCAAAAUAAAACCAAG
This 1515-nucleotide long non-coding RNA is filed under the name Homo sapiens (human). RNAcentral describes it as "HSALNT0293645". Lineage: Eukaryota; Metazoa; Chordata; Mammalia; Primates; Hominidae. The record is from RNAcentral.